Long non-coding RNA from Strongylocentrotus purpuratus (purple sea urchin), 498 nucleotides. RefSeq lists it as uncharacterized. The record is from RefSeq and is a predicted model, not a curated record. The transcript has 3 exons. Lineage: Eukaryota; Metazoa; Echinodermata; Echinoidea; Camarodonta; Strongylocentrotidae.
ACCUCUUCUCCAGGUGUUCCCUCUAAAGCUUCUACGAUGAUACCACCGCAACCUGCUGAAGAUAAUACAGUCUUUUUAAAGAUUAUCUUCCCCAUCUCCAUUAUCACCUCCAUCAUCAUCUCCGUCAUCAUUACGUGUCUUGGUUUCAAGUACCGGCAACGACUUAAGAACUUACUGGCAGGAUUCGUGGAUGCCUUCAGAAGACCGAAAAUCUGCAAGACCAAUGAUGUAACAAUCUGACAGCUCUCGAGACUGACAUUGCCGAACUAGUGAAUCCUCGAAUAGGUUUAAAGGGCAGGAGUCAUGUAUUAUGUAUUGUGUAUUUGUUUUUAUUUGUUGUUGUUGUAAUUUUUACCAUGUGUUUUGUCACACGCCUACAUGGCUCCUUUGAAAAGCAGGCCUUGUGGCUCUGAAGUGACUACCCUGUAUUUUAAAGACGACUGAAUAAAUAAAUAAAUUAAUAUAUAUAUAAACUAGCACAUUGACUUGGUUUCGAAC